Molecule: ribosomal RNA, 406 nt
Filed under: uncultured bacterium
Lineage: Bacteria
Description: partial 16S ribosomal RNA
Rfam family: Bacterial small subunit ribosomal RNA
Source: RNAcentral
AUUGAACGCUGGCGGCAGGCCUAACACAUGCAAGUCGAACGCGUGGCGGACGGGUGAGUAAUGUCUGGGUAUCUGCCUUAUGGAGGGGGAUAACUUCUGGAAACUGUAGCUAAUCCCGUAUACUCGCCGAUACGCCCAGAUGGGAUUCGCUAGUUGGUGGGGUAACGGCUCACCAAGGCGACGAUCCCUAGCUGGUCUGAGAGGAUGAACAGCCACACUGGUACUGAGACACGGUCCAGACUCCUACGGGAGGCAGCAGUGGGGAAUAUUGCACAAUGGGCGCAAGCCUGAUGCAGCCAUGCCGCGUGUAUGAAGAAGGCCUUAGGGUUGUAAAGUACUUUCAGCGGGGAGGCGUUACCCGCAGAAGAAGCACCGGCUAACUCCGUGCCAGCAGCCGCGGUAAUAC